UCUUUUUUAACAUGUUCUUGUGUAAAACCAUGCAGUUACAGUUCAUAGCUUAAGAUUGCAAAAUCAAGCAACUGCACUAAUUUUGUUUGUUCUAUAUUCACUUAAGUUAUUCUCUGAAUAAAAUAUUCACUUAAGCUACUCUAACAAAGAAAGAAAUCUACUUCAGAUUGUCGAAACAUUUAAAUACAAGUUAUUAGUAACAGGCAUGUGCAUACUGACUGUUAAACUAAAUUUUGGAUCCAACAAAAAAUUCAUGUAUCCUUGAAUCUGAAAUAAGUCUCAGCAACAACCUCGGAAGCUGUAGUUUCAGUUGAAGCAAUAGACGUUCUCGAGGUAUACCCUGAUGUCCUCUCUUGAAAGCUCAUAGAAUUUCGGUCAUGUAAUCUUCUCUCUAUGUCAAUAGUCUGCAUGGUGAUAUUUUAAUAAGGAAAGAUGAGAUUCACAAACACUUAUCCAAGAUAACAUGACAUUUACACAACACGUCCUUCUUGAACUUCCAAUGACUGCAAUUUUCUAACAGAGCAGAUAAGUGAAUAGAAAAGUCUCCUAUUCACUUCUUAUUGCGGAGGAAAACAUUAUCUUAUAUAUGCUUGACUGGACGUCUGUACACUAUAGAAUAUAAUCAGCUAGAAAAGCUUUAGAAACAGAUAUUUAUUUACUGAGAAUAAAAAAUAAAUCUUUUGAAAUUAAGAAAGGAACUCUUUUGAAGUUAAUCAACAUCAGAUAUUAGUGCAGUUGUUUGAAGAUAAAUGGUUUGAUGUCUCUU
Molecule: long non-coding RNA, 766 nt
Filed under: Phoenix dactylifera (date palm)
Lineage: Eukaryota; Viridiplantae; Streptophyta; Magnoliopsida; Arecales; Arecaceae
Description: long non-coding RNA (PDAC_LNC017342)
Source: RNAcentral